GUUAUAUGGUCAAGUGAAGAAGCGCAUACGGUGGAUGCCUUGGCAGUCAGAGGCGAUGAAAGACGUGGUAGCCUGCGAUAAGCUUUGGGGAGUCGGCAAACAGACUGUGAUCCAGAGAUCUCUGAAUGGGGGAACCCACUCAGCACAAGCUGAGUAUCUUGUACUGAAUACAUAGGUGCAAGAGGCGAACCAGGGGAACUGAAACAUCUAAGUACCCUGAGGAAAAGAAAUCAACCGAGAUUCCCUUAGUAGUGGCGAGCGAACGGGGACCAGCCCUUAAGUUGAUUUGAGAUUAGUGGAACGCUCUGGAAAGUGCGGCCAUAGUGGGUGAUAGCCCCGUACACGAAAAUCUCUUGUCAAUGAAAUCGAGUAGGACGGAGCACGAGAAACUUUGUCUGAACAUGGGGGGACCAUCCUCCAAGGCUAAAUACUACUGACUGACCGAUAGUGAACCAGUACCGUGAGGGAAAGGCGAAAAGAACCCCGGAGAGGGGAGUGAAAUAGAACCUGAAACCGUAUGCGUACAAGCAGUGGGAGCCUACUUUGUUAGGUGACUGCGUACCUUUUGUAUAAUGGGUCAGCGACUUAUAUUCAGUGGCGAGCUUAACCGAAUAGGGGAGGCGUAGCGAAAGCGAGUCUUAAUAGGGCGUUUAGUCGCUGGGUAUAGACCCGAAACCGGGCGAUCUAUCCAUGGGCAGGUUGAAGGUUAGGUAACACUGACUGGAGGACCGAACCGACUACCGUUGAAAAGUUAGCGGAUGACCUGUGGAUCGGAGUGAAAGGCUAAUCAAGCUCGGAGAUAGCUGGUUCUCCUCGAAAGCUAUUUAGGUAGCGCCUCAUGUAUCACUCCAGGGGGUAGAGCACUGUUUCGGCUAGGGGGUCAUCCCGACUUACCAAACCGAUGCAAACUCCGAAUACCUGGAAGUGCCGAGCAUGGGAGACACACGGCGGGUGCUAACGUCCGUCGUGAAAAGGGAAACAACCCAGACCGUCAGCUAAGGUCCCAAAGUCAUGGUUAAGUGGGAAACGAUGUGGGAAGGCUUAGACAGCUAGGAGGUUGGCUUAGAAGCAGCCACCCUUUAAAGAAAGCGUAAUAGCUCACUAGUCGAGUCGGCCUGCGCGGAAGAUGUAACGGGGCUCAAACCAUGCACCGAAGCUACGGGUGUCAUCUUUGAUGACGCGGUAGAGGAGCGUUCUGUAAGCCUGUGAAGGUGAGUUGAGAAGCUUGCUGGAGGUAUCAGAAGUGCGAAUGCUGACAUGAGUAACGACAAUGCGAGUGAAAAACUCGCACGCCGAAAGACCAAGGUUUCCUGCGCAACGUUAAUCGACGCAGGGUUAGUCGGUCCCUAAGGCGAGGCUGAAAAGCGUAGUCGAUGGAAAACAGGUUAAUAUUCCUGUACUUCCAGUUAUUGCGAUGGAGGGACGGAGAAGGUUAGGCCAGCCUGGCGUUGGUUGUCCAGGUUUAAGGUGGUAGGCUGAAAUCUUAGGCAAAUCCGGGAUUUCAAGGCCGAGAGCUGAUGACGAGUUGCCUCUAGGCGACGAAGUGGUUGAUACCAUGCUUCCAAGAAAAGCUCCUAAGCUUCAGAUAACUGGGAACCGUACCCCAAACCGACACAGGUGGUUAGGUAGAGAAUACCAAGGCGCUUGAGAGAACUCGGGUGAAGGAACUAGGCAAAAUGGCACCGUAACUUCGGGAGAAGGUGCGCCGGCGAGGGUGAAGGACUUGCUCCGUAAGCCCAUGCCGGUCGAAGAUACCAGGCCGCUGCGACUGUUUAUUAAAAACACAGCACUCUGCAAACACGAAAGUGGACGUAUAGGGUGUGACGCCUGCCCGGUGCCGGAAGGUUAAUUGAUGGGGUUAGCGCAAGCGAAGCUCUUGAUCGAAGCCCCGGUAAACGGCGGCCGUAACUAUAACGGUCCUAAGGUAGCGAAAUUCCUUGUCGGGUAAGUUCCGACCUGCACGAAUGGCGUAACGAUGGCGGCGCUGUCUCCACCCGAGACUCAGUGAAAUUGAAAUCGCUGUGAAGAUGCAGUGUAUCCGCGGCUAGACGGAAAGACCCCGUGAACCUUUACUAUAGCUUUGCACUGGACUUUGAAUUUGCUUGUGUAGGAUAGGUGGGAGGCUUUGAAGUGGGGACGCCAGUUCUCAUGGAGCCAUCCUUGAAAUACCACCCUGGCAACUUUGAGGUUCUAACUCAGGUCCGUUAUCCGGAUCGAGGACAGUGUAUGGUGGGUAGUUUGACUGGGGCGGUCUCCUCCCAAAGAGUAACGGAGGAGUACGAAGGUGCGCUCAGACCGGUCGGAAAUCGGUCGUAGAGUAUAAAGGCAAAAGCGCGCUUGACUGCGAGACAAACACGUCGAGCAGGUACGAAAGUAGGUCUUAGUGAUCCGGUGGUUCUGUAUGGAAGGGCCAUCGCUCAACGGAUAAAAGGUACUCCGGGGAUAACAGGCUGAUACCGCCCAAGAGUUCAUAUCGACGGCGGUGUUUGGCACCUCGAUGUCGGCUCAUCACAUCCUGGGGCUGAAGCCGGUCCCAAGGGUAUGGCUGUUCGCCAUUUAAAGUGGUACGCGAGCUGGGUUUAGAACGUCGUGAGACAGUUCGGUCCCUAUCUGCCGUGGACGUUUGAGAUUUGAGAGGGGCUGCUCCUAGUACGAGAGGACCGGAGUGGACGAACCUCUGGUGUUCCGGUUGUCACGCCAGUGGCAUUGCCGGGUAGCUAUGUUCGGAAGAGAUAACCGCUGAAAGCAUCUAAGCGGGAAACUUGCCUCAAGAUGAGAUCUCACUGGAACCUUGAGUUCCCUGAAGGGCCGUCGAAGACUACGACGUUGAUAGGUUGGGUGUGUAAGCGCUGUGAGGCGUUGAGCUAACCAAUACUAAUUGCCCGUGAGGCUUGACCAUAUAACACCCAAGCAAUU
This 2916-nucleotide ribosomal RNA is filed under the name Mesorhizobium sp. RNAcentral's name for it is "23S ribosomal RNA". It matches the Rfam family "Bacterial large subunit ribosomal RNA". Lineage: Bacteria; Pseudomonadati; Pseudomonadota; Alphaproteobacteria; Hyphomicrobiales; Phyllobacteriaceae. The record is from RNAcentral.